Molecule: long non-coding RNA, 266 nt
Filed under: Solanum tuberosum (potato)
Lineage: Eukaryota; Viridiplantae; Streptophyta; Magnoliopsida; Solanales; Solanaceae
Description: long non-coding RNA (STUB_LNC008938)
Source: RNAcentral
CCACCUUUCCUUAUAAUCCUACUGAAAUCCGAUUGGUUCGGAUACUAGGAACAUGCAUCACUUUAGUCAACACCAACGUUUUUCAGAUGUGAGUUUGAGAAGAACUUUUUCUUUUCCAAGGAAUUGAGUGAUUGUAGAAUCACUAAGAUACACGACUUCUUCUCCUUCAUUGACUUGGGUGUAAGACACAAAAUCUGUUUUAUUUAGCAUUUGAAUCUAUCACACAUUCACUCACAUUGAAUGCAAGUUUUGCUUGGAAAAUGACC